This 254-nucleotide ribosomal RNA is filed under the name uncultured bacterium. RNAcentral's name for it is "partial 16S ribosomal RNA". It matches the Rfam family "Bacterial small subunit ribosomal RNA", at positions 524 to 776 of the family's 1533-position model. The record is from RNAcentral.
UACGUAGGGGCCAAGCGUUGUCCGGAUUUAUUGGGCGUAAAGAGCUCGUAGGCGGUUCGGCAAGUCAGCUGUGAAAUCUCCACGCUCAACGUGGAGGGGUCAGCUGAUACUGCUGUGACUUGAGUCCGGAAGAGGAGAGUGGAAUUCCUGGUGUAGCGGUGAAAUGCGCAGAUAUCAGGAAGAACACCCGUGGCGAAGGCGGCUCUCUGGGACGGUACUGACGCUGAGACGCGAAAGCGUGGGGAGCGAACAGG